Molecule: ribosomal RNA, 253 nt
Filed under: uncultured bacterium
Lineage: Bacteria
Description: partial 16S ribosomal RNA
Rfam family: Bacterial small subunit ribosomal RNA
Source: RNAcentral
UACGUAGGGUGCGAGCGUUGUCCGGAAUUAUUGGGCGUAAAGAGCUCGUAGGCGGUUUGUCGCGUCGACUGUGAAAACCUACAGCUUAACUGUGGGCUUGCAGUCGAUACGGGCAGACUUGAGUUCGGUAGGGGAGACUGGAAUUCCUGGUGUAGCGGUGAAAUGCGCAGAUAUCAGGAGGAACACCGGUGGCGAAGGCGGGUCUCUGGGCCGAUACUGACGCUGAUGCGCGAAAGCGUGGGGAGCAAACAGG